CUUUUUUCCGGGUCUCCUUCUUUCCCUUUCAUUCUCAAGUGCUAGGUUGCUCAAAUUUUCAUCUCUAUGGCUACUUCCUCUCUAGCUCUCUUCCAUUUUUUUGCUUCUCAAAUACCAUGCAUUUCUUUCAAUUUCCUUUAUUUCCUCGCAUUUUAGCACCCAAUGCUGAAUGAUUCUGUUGUAUUUGCCAUUUUGGAGGUUUGUUUUAGUGGUUCAACUCUUGCAUAGUGUUUGCCAUCUAAAAUACUAUUUUUUGGAGCAAUUGUGUUCUUAGAUCUUGACAAUGAUAUCCAUCUAGCAGGGUCUACAAAGAGAUUGUAGAUUUAAGAUAAAUUAGCUAAGGUUACUGCUAGGCACUAUAUGCCUGAGACACACCGCCUGCUAUUUGAUGUUAACUAUUCUACUCAUUCUGGGGGAUAUUAUUCGGUCAACCCAAAGCAAGGUUACUGCUAGGCACUAUAUGCCUGAGACACACCGUCUGCUAUUUGAUGUUAACUAUUCUACUCAUUCUGGGGGAUAUUACUCGGUCAACCCAAAGCAAGGUUAACAAAGAGGAAUGCGAAGGAGAAAGGAUUUUCAGAUUUGCUGUAUCUUGAUUCAGUCAUUAAGUGAUAUAUGGAAAAGGUCUCUCUUUAGUAUAUUCCUUACCAAGGGAAGUGUACUUUCAACUCUUACAGCCAGAAGAGGAACUAUCGCUAGCACUCCAUGCGUAACAGUCUUUGAAGCCUUAUCGGUAAUUAUCUUUUUUUUAGAGAUUUCCUUUUAAAGUGGAAGAAGAUUCAUGCUUCAAAUGCGCGCUUUUUCAUUGAACAUAUAAGAUAUUCGUGAGGUUUAAGCACACAGAGAUAGUGAUUGUAAUUUUUGUUGACAAUUUCAGUUUCUAUCAGUUUGUUGUAGCAGCUAUUGUGAAUUUAUAAUGCUGCAAUAAAUAGAAGAAAUAUAUGAGAACAUAUUAUUUAACGUUUCUACAGGUACUUUAUUCUGUUAGACAUGCAUAUCUUAGGUACUUUUGAGGAUUAAUUUAAUUUUGCGACA
Nicotiana tabacum (common tobacco) is the source of this 1035-nucleotide long non-coding RNA. RefSeq lists it as uncharacterized. NCBI's taxonomy places the organism in Eukaryota, Viridiplantae, Streptophyta, Magnoliopsida, Solanales, Solanaceae. The record is from RefSeq and is a predicted model, not a curated record.